AUGUCCGCCGUUGACUCGUGGCACUUCUGCGCCAAGCUUGCCCGCCAAUUCAUGAAGGGCUGGGGCGCUAAUCUUGGCCGUGACUUCCGCGAGCGUAAAAGAUCUCUCCUGUUGGCUAUUCAGGCUCUGGACGCCCGGGCCGACUCCUCCGGGCUCUCCCCAGAUGAGUGGAUGCUGAGAUAUGAUCUUGAGGAUCAACUCUCCUCCAUCUACACAGAUGAGGAGGCAUACUGGAGGUUGCGUGGUACCCAAAGAUGGGUGCUCCGCGGUGAUGCGAACACUGCAUAUUUCCAGGCGGUUGCGAAUGGCUGA
This 312-nucleotide ribosomal RNA is filed under the name Triticum aestivum (bread wheat). Its description in RNAcentral is "partial small subunit ribosomal RNA". The record is from RNAcentral. Lineage: Eukaryota; Viridiplantae; Streptophyta; Magnoliopsida; Poales; Poaceae.